RNAcentral lists this ribosomal RNA (252 nucleotides) under uncultured bacterium. Its description in RNAcentral is "partial 16S ribosomal RNA". It matches the Rfam family "Bacterial small subunit ribosomal RNA", at positions 524 to 776 of the family's 1533-position model. The record is from RNAcentral.
UACAGAGGGGGCAAGCGUUAUUCGGAAUUAUUGGGCGUAAAGGGCGCGUAGGCGGCCUUGCAAGUGACGGGUGAAAUCCCUCGGCUUAACCGAGGAACUGCCUGUCAGACUGCAUGGCUUGAGACCGGGAGAGGUGAGUGGAAUUCCCAGUGUAGCGGUGAAAUGCGUAGAUAUUGGAGGAACACCAGUGGCGAAGGCGGCUCACUGGACCGGUACUGACGCUGAGGCGCGAAAGCGUGGGGAGCAAACAGG